CCUGCAAGCGCCAUCUUGUCGUACGGCUCCCGGCACCAGAGAACCCCCGGUUCCCGACAGCCUAGCAAUCAAGAGUGACCCUGACGCUGAAAGAGACGAAGUGCCGCGCUGACCUGACAGAAAGGACAACCGGCAACCUAACAGCAACGGUGAAGCGCCAGCAGCGGCGCCAUCUUACCUCCCCGCCGCGCUACGCCGCGCAGCUCACCCUCUGGCCGCUCUGGCCGCUCGGAACGCGGCCGCGCGGCCCCUAAACGCUGAUUGGUCGCUGCUCUGCCGGUGAUGUGCUGCUAUUGGUCAAAGGCAACACAUCACCGAGGGAGGCGGGGCGGUGAGAAACUUCGCGACGGAAAUGGUUGAGGUGAACUGUCUGUCAGAAACUCGGCCUAUGAUUGGGCCAUCGGAAAGGCGGGCCGCAGCCAGUCGCCAGGUCCGGAUAUUUUUCCGCCUCAGUGUGGUUCGCCUUUUGAUGGCCAUGGACUCCAGUCCUCUCAGGCAGCUACUUUGUUACCUUUUCUACACAACAGGUGGUGGCACGGGCCUUUAAUCCCAGCACCGGGGGACCAGCCAUCUACAAACUACUACCUCUAUUGCUGUACCUAAGCCAGGAUCUCCUUAUCCUGCCCAGUCCAGUCAAGAUUCUCCUGCCCCAGCCUCUUUCAUGCUGGGGUUACAGACAGUCUCUGUAGUCCAGACUGUCCUGAAAUCCAUGGCAAUCCUUCUGCCCCAGCUUCUCAACAGUUGGAAUUAGAGGCAUGAGCUACUGUGUCCACCAACUUGUGUUUAGACGCACUCACAGGGCUGGAGAGGUGGUUCAGCAGUAAAGAGCACUCACUGGAUGCUCAUCCAGAGGACCUGGGUUCGAUUCCAAGCACCCACAGGAUGGCUCACAGCUGUAAAGACUCUAACUCCAGUGUCAGGGGAUAUGACACCUCACAGGCAUACGUGUAAGUAAAACACCAAUAUACAUAAAAUGAAAAUAGUCUUUUUUUAUUAUAUUUAUUUGGUUGUGGAGACACAUGUAUGGAGCUUAAAGAACCAAUGGAAAUCAGUUUUCUCCUACCAUGUGGGUCCCAGGGACUGUGAGGCUCAGCAGUGAGCAGCUUUACCCACUAGGCCAUCUCAUCAGCUCUCCUCUUAAAGAUCUUUUACUACUGGUAAUCCUAAAGUUUGACAUACUUGCUGCAGUUCUGUUCCUCUAAUGUAUAACUUGUGUAGUGCUCAUAGUUUCUCUACAUUAUCAAUUUAACUUUUCUUCUUCAAAAUGUAAUUCUAUCAGGCGUGGUAGAACUUGCCAGUAAUUGAUCUCAGCACUCAAGACCUUGGGUGUAGCAAGAAGAUGCAGUUUGAAGCCAGCUGAGCUACACAGUGAAGCUGUCUUGAACAAAACAUACUGUCUACCAGAAACAUCAUUGUGGCUUUUCAGAGAUGCAAGCUACAGUUAUAAACUACAUCUUGGUGCUUGGUAGAUGAGUGUUUUAAGCUUUGCUACCAUAGUAAAGCUGUCGUUUUUUUGUUUGUUUUUGCCCUUCCAGGUACUCAUGCAAGAAUGUAAGUGAAGAGUUUUCCCCCAUCUACAACAUAUUUUACACCAUCAGGUUCACUGCUGUAGUUAAAUCUUAGUUCUCCCAAUGGACUUGAUGCCCAUAUGGUAGUGUGAUAGGAACUUAAUACUGUUAAAACCAAAGUGGUAAUGAGUCAACAAAAUCAAAGACUAAUUUAAGAACAUGGCACAUACAAAUAACAAUCAGGUGUUUCAUCAUUAACGUUUAUUGAUGGGAUGGAUAAAUACAGAUUGAGAAACAUACUUGACAGCAAGAUAUCAAACUGAUAGCCAGACUAUAAAAUGUGUAUACAAUAUCCUUCUUUAAAUUUUUUUUGAGUUUUUAAAGUUUUUUUACAAAGAGCCCUUAUGAUAAUGGUCACUUACAUCCCUAUCAUCAUUCACCUAACAGCAGUAGAGAUCCCAGGAGUAGCACCCAAAACUGAGGUGCCCCACGGAGGACAGAGGCAACAGCAGAAUAAUAUGCUGAGCAGUACAAAAUAAGACAAAAAACAAAACAACAAAAAAAGCUCACCACAAAAUUGUACCUGAGUGACAUAAACUGGUAAAAUGUGUUACUUUGCUUUUCAUUUUCUUUUUUCUUUUCUUUUUUUUUUUUUUUUUGUUCUUUGGUCUGAUAAGAAAAUGGACAGUUUUUGAUAGAAAAUAUGUGGAAAGUAAGGUAAUAUAUAUCAGUUUCAAGUUUAGAACCCUAAGUUACACCUUACAGUUUUGAGUUCUUAGGCCAGAAAGCACUUCUACUUUGUAAGUGAUUUCAUUAUGGUCUUCAGCUAAUCACUUCCUCUGCUUCCACUGGCAUUUCCAGACCACCUGAUGGGAGAUAUACAUGCUCUGGCUUCAAUUAACAUGCUGUCAAGCAUCCCUCUCCACAAUUAGAACAGCAACACAAAACCUAUGAGUCUCUUCAUACAAGCAGCAAUACGCACUCAAAAAGGGAAAGAGCAGACACUAAUUUUUUAUUAAACAUUCUUUUCCCUCUU
Arvicola amphibius (Eurasian water vole) is the source of this 2544-nucleotide long non-coding RNA. RefSeq lists it as uncharacterized. Lineage: Eukaryota; Metazoa; Chordata; Mammalia; Rodentia; Cricetidae. The record is from RefSeq and is a predicted model, not a curated record. The transcript has 5 exons.